This 301-nucleotide ribosomal RNA is filed under the name uncultured bacterium. RNAcentral's name for it is "partial 16S ribosomal RNA". It matches the Rfam family "Bacterial small subunit ribosomal RNA", at positions 509 to 807 of the family's 1533-position model. The record is from RNAcentral.
CAGUAGCCACGGGAAUACGUAGGUGGCAAGCGUUGUCCGGAAUUAUUGGGCGUAAAGCGCGCGCAGGUGGUUUAAUAAGUCUGAUGUGAAAGCCCACGGCUCAACCGUGGAGGGUCAUUGGAAACUGUUAAACUUGAGUGCAGGAGAGAAAAGUGGAAUUCCUAGUGUAGCGGUGAAAUGCGUAGAGAUUAGGAGGAACACCAGUGGCGAAGGCGGCUUUUUGGCCUGUAACUGACACUGAGGCGCGAAAGCGUGGGGCGCAAACAGGAUUAGAUACCCGCGUAGUCCCUGUCUCUUAUAC